RNAcentral lists this unclassified non-coding RNA (344 nucleotides) under soil metagenome. RNAcentral describes it as "partial contains 5.8S ribosomal RNA, internal transcribed spacer 2, and large subunit ribosomal RNA". The stretch from base 1 to 120 matches the Rfam family "5.8S ribosomal RNA", at positions 35 to 154 of the family's 154-position model. The record is from RNAcentral.
GAUGAAGAACGUAGCGAAAUGCGAUAAGUAAUGUGAAUUGCAGAAUUCCGUGAAUCAUCGAGUCUUUGAACGCACAUUGCGCCCCCUGGUAUUCCGGGGGGCAUGCCUGUCCGAGCGUCAUUGCUGCCCUCAAGCACGGCUUGUGUGUUGGGCCUCCGUCCUCCUCCCGGGGGACGGGCCCGAAAGGCAGCGGCGGCACCGCGUCCGGUCCUCGAGCGUAUGGGGCUUCGUCACCCGCUCUUGUAGGCCCGGCCGGCGCUUGCCGACACAUCAAUCUUUUUUCCAGGUUGACCUCGGAUCAGGUAGGGAUACCCGCUGAACUUAAGCAUAUCAAUAAGCGAGGA